Non-coding RNA from Benincasa hispida (wax gourd), 225 nucleotides. Lineage: Eukaryota; Viridiplantae; Streptophyta; Magnoliopsida; Cucurbitales; Cucurbitaceae. The record is from RefSeq and is a predicted model, not a curated record.
AAAUUCAAAUUUCUUCCUCGUCUUCUUCUUCUUCUAAUUAAAUACUAAUUUCUUUUAUGUUCUUCUUAUUUUGGUUAAUAUUUUGAUCUAUGGAAGAACCACCCUCUGUUUUUCUCUUCUUCUAAACCAUAUGAUGGAUGAUUGACAUUGCUCAAAUUGGAUGAAAGUUGAAAGAGGGAUUUAAUAUACAUACCCUAAAUCCAUCUCUCUGCCUUCCCCUCUCAG